AUACUUACCUGGCAAGGGAGAUACCGUGAUCAAGAAGGCGGUUCACCCAGGGCGAGGCUCAGCCAUUGCACUCCGGCUGUGCUGACCCCUGCGAAUUUCCCAAAUGUGGAAAUCUCGAUUGCAUAAUUUAUGGUAGUGGGGGACUGCGUUCGCCCCUG
RNAcentral lists this small nuclear RNA (158 nucleotides) under Salmo salar (Atlantic salmon). RNAcentral describes it as "U1 spliceosomal RNA". It matches the Rfam family "U1 spliceosomal RNA". Rfam says of the family: U1 is a small nuclear RNA (snRNA) component of the spliceosome (involved in pre-mRNA splicing). Its 5' end forms complementary base pairs with the 5' splice junction, thus defining the 5' donor site of an intron. There are significant differences in sequence and secondary structure between metazoan and yeast U1 snRNAs, the latter being much longer (568 nucleotides as compared to 164 nucleotides in human). Lineage: Eukaryota; Metazoa; Chordata; Actinopteri; Salmoniformes; Salmonidae. The record is from Rfam by way of RNAcentral.